CCAUUAUGGUCAUGGCGUUAGCCUUUUAAGCUAAAACAUGGUGCCUACCGAACACCCUUAG
Molecule: transfer RNA, 61 nt
Filed under: Anabas testudineus (climbing perch)
Lineage: Eukaryota; Metazoa; Chordata; Actinopteri; Anabantiformes; Anabantidae
Description: tRNA-Lys
Source: RNAcentral